RNAcentral lists this ribosomal RNA (217 nucleotides) under uncultured bacterium. Its description in RNAcentral is "partial 16S ribosomal RNA". It matches the Rfam family "Bacterial small subunit ribosomal RNA", at positions 116 to 334 of the family's 1533-position model. The record is from RNAcentral.
CGUGAGGAACCUACCCCGGACUCAGGGAUAACGGCUGGAAACGGCUGCUAAUACCUGAUGCCGUCGGAGCAUCACAUGGUGCACUGACGAAAGAAUCUCGGUUCGGGAGGGUCUCGCGGCCUAUCAGCUAGUUGGUGGGGUAAUGGCCUACCAAGGCAUCGACGGGUAGCUGGUCUGAGAGGAUGAUCAGCCACACUGGGACUGAGACACGGCCCAG